RNAcentral lists this ribosomal RNA (281 nucleotides) under uncultured Rickettsia sp. RNAcentral's name for it is "partial 16S ribosomal RNA". It matches the Rfam family "Bacterial small subunit ribosomal RNA", at positions 221 to 508 of the family's 1533-position model. The record is from RNAcentral. Lineage: Bacteria; Pseudomonadati; Pseudomonadota; Alphaproteobacteria; Rickettsiales; Rickettsiaceae.
CAGGAUGUGCCCGCGGCCUAUCAGCUUGUUGGUGGGGGUAAUGGCUACCAAGGCGACGACGGGUAGGCCGGGCCGUCGAGAGGGGUGGAUCGGCCACACUGGGACUGAGACACGGCCCAGACUCCUACGGGAGGCAGCAGUGGGGAAUAUUGCACAAUGGGCGCAAGCCUGAUGCAGCGACGCCGCGUGGGGGAUGACGGUCUUCGGAUUGUAAACCCCUUUCAGUAGGGACGAAGCGCAAGUGACGGUACCUGCAGAAGAAGCACCGGCCAACUACGUGC